AAGACCCAUGAUUUAACAAAGAACCUAAGAGCCAACUUCAACCCCUAAGCACAAACCUUAGUUACGGCGGGUCAUGCACCCAAGUUCUAGACCCAGAAGAAAAGAAAGCAAUAUAUGCAUCGCCGUUCUUCUACAACCGUUUUCCACUAGAGGGAAAUUGCGGUAGACUGAAGCAUUAUGCCAGGGCCACACAUGGUGAUUGCCUAUUCAAAAGACCCAUAACACUAUAACACCCUUAGAAUCUAUGUAGCAACCCUUAAGCUCAAAACCAACAACAACAAGCAUAGAGAUCAUGGAGGCCGAUCAUGCAACGGCUCAAAAAGGAAAGAAUAGCAGAAGCAGAGAUAGAGCCCUGACGUCUUACUCUCUUAUAGCUGCAAGGGCAGCCACGAAUGGUUGCUAGCAAAACUCUCAGGGUCUUUCUUUCUCAGAAACAAGCAAAUGAAGCACCAUCCUAGAGAAUCAGAGAAUAAAGGAGAGGAGGCAUAUAUGUUUUCCUAUUCUAGCCAAGAGGUCACUGGCGCCUCAAAUGCAACCGUUGACAAACCCUAGGCUCUUCCCCUUCCCUACACAGCAAACCAUUAAAAUCUAAAACUAUACAGACACUACUAAAAAGACUCUGAAAAGCACAAUCUGUCAGAAAUCUACCAAAAAACAAUUUACAGCCUACCCGAAAAUGAGGCUCCCCACUCAAUUGAUGUAAGGGAGCCGCUUGAAAUGGCAGUGACAAGCGACUGAGCUCAA
This 744-nucleotide unclassified non-coding RNA is filed under the name Hevea brasiliensis (rubber tree). Lineage: Eukaryota; Viridiplantae; Streptophyta; Magnoliopsida; Malpighiales; Euphorbiaceae. The record is from RNAcentral.